This is a long non-coding RNA of Etheostoma cragini (Arkansas darter), 348 nucleotides long. RefSeq lists it as uncharacterized. Lineage: Eukaryota; Metazoa; Chordata; Actinopteri; Perciformes; Percidae. The transcript has 3 exons. The record is from RefSeq and is a predicted model, not a curated record.
UGUGUGUGUGUGUGUGUGUGUGUGUGUGUGUGUGUGUGUGUGUGUGUGUGUGUGUUUGUGUGUGUGUCUCUCUGCAGACGGUGCUUCAGGAUCUGGUGACGGAGAUGAUGAGGGCUCUGGGCGCGGUAAAAAGGUCUCGAAGUGUGGAAACUGCAAGUUUGGAGCCGAAUGUGACGAAGACUCUGAGGAUAUGCUCUGCAUGUGUAACAUUGUGUGUAACGGCCACAACGAUAACCCGGUGUGCGGCGGCGACGGCGUCACCUACGACACGCCCUGCCACGUCCGGGAGGCGUCGUGCCUCAAACAGCUCAAGAUCGACAUCAAGCACGUGGGCCGAUGCCAAGGUAA